Molecule: ribosomal RNA, 607 nt
Filed under: uncultured bacterium
Lineage: Bacteria
Description: bacterial SSU rRNA
Rfam family: Bacterial small subunit ribosomal RNA
Source: RNAcentral
AAACUCAAAGGAAUUGACGGGGACCCGCACAAGCGGUGGAUGAUGUGGUUUAAUUCGAUGCAACGCGAAAAACCUUACCCACCUUUGACAUGUACGGAAGUUACCAGAGAUGGUUUCGUGCUCGAAAGAGAACCGUAACACAGGUGCUGCAUGGCUGUCGUCAGCUCGUGUCGUGAGAUGUUGGGUUAAGUCCCGCAACGAGCGCAACCCUUGUCAUUAGUUGCUACAUUUAGUUGGGCACUCUAAUGAGACUGCCGGUGACAAGCCGGAGGAAGGUGGGGAUGACGUCAAGUCCUCAUGGCCCUUAUAGGUGGGGCUACACACGUCAUACAAUGGCUGGUACAAAGGGUUGCCAACCCGCGAGGGGGAGCUAAUCCCACAAAGCCAGUCGUAGUCCGGAUCGUAGUCUGCAACUCGACUACGUGAAGUCGGAAUCGCUAGUAAUCGUGGAUCAGAAUGUCACGGUGAAUACGUUCCCGGGUCUUGUACACACCGCCCGUCACACCAUGGGAGCGGGUUCUGCCAGAAGUAGUUAGCCUAACCGCAAGGAGGGCGAUUACCACGGCAGGGUUCGUGACUGGGGUGAAGUCGUCCCAAGGUAACCGUA